Grus americana (Whooping crane) is the source of this 2826-nucleotide long non-coding RNA. RefSeq lists it as uncharacterized. The transcript has 3 exons. Lineage: Eukaryota; Metazoa; Chordata; Aves; Gruiformes; Gruidae. The record is from RefSeq and is a predicted model, not a curated record.
UUCUAGGACCCCCGCUGAAACGCUGCAUGUGCAUUUUGCCAAAUGGCUUGCUGAUCUCCUUCCCACUUAGAAGCGCUUUCACCGAGGCAUCGUUUUACCUCUGUCUGUCUGAGAGCUGGGCGCAGAUUUUAUUGUGAUCGGAUUUCAGUUUCUGAAAAUCAUUUCUGAACUUCCCAGCGGCAGCGAUUCCUUCAGUAAAGACUUUCAUCAAGCAGUCUUUUGUAAUAUCAGGCAAGUCACCUACCCAAAGCAGAAAAAUCCAGACAUGGAAACAGUAAAAAUAUUUGUCAUGUCGCUAAUUGAAAGAAAGCGAUGACCUUCGUCACACAUUCCAGGCAUAAAUAAUAGCUUGAUCUGUGGUUUCUUGAAUGGGUAUCAGUGGUUAUGAAGAAAGCUAAAUUCACAUCUAUAACACUGCUCUCCAUUUGUGCAUGGUCUCCUGGCAGGGUGUUCAGAAGCAGGCAACCUUCACUGCUACCUUCUCCAAGGCAGCAAAUUACUUGUGUGUUCAACGCUGCUGGUCACAGAAUAAAACCAGCUUUCCAGUGGCAGUCGUGACUGAUAUCUGUAAGGAAUACGGUUCACUUUAAAUAUCAGUUACAGACCGCUUAGUGCAUAAUCAUCUAAAGUGCAUUUGGCGUGAUGCUGCAGGGACUCGCUUUUUGUCCCAUGCUAUCAAGUGAAAUCCAGAGCACGAGUUCAAAUUGAGUGGAAACAUUGUAGAAUCAUCAGUGUUUGUUGAUGGAUUUGUUUAUUUGCUUGUUUUGUUUUGUUUUUUUUAAAAGCAGAAGCUGUCAUCUCUUCUUGCUGGUAAAUCAUUUUAUUAGCUAUUGUAUUUUCACCCAGCAGAAUCUUUAUACCAUGACAAUCUUCCAAAUUAAACGUUAAGAUUCCAGGAAAACUGUAACCGGUGUUUCAAGUCAGACGUGAAGCUAACGAAAGAGGCUGGAGGAGCGCUCCUGGUGCGGCCCUUAGUUUCUGCCUACAGCACAGCGCAAUUCCGUCUGAACGGCUGGGCUGACUUCCCUGGGUUACGUCUAACAGGACAGGAGUUUAAGUAAGGUAAAGCUGAGCAAAUAUCAAUAAACAGCCUUUCACAGGGAGGUUUCUCCUUAGGACUGUUGACUGCGUAACCUCAAAAUCAAUGCCCCAGCCUGUCCUGGCAGGAGGUUUGGAUUCAUCAUCUUGCUCUGUUCUUGAGCUGCCAUGUGGGCACGUCACUUGCUUUUUCCUCCUGUGCUUACCUGUCUGUAAACUGAGGGUGAUUUCUGUCUUCCUACAGCUAAUUCUCUGACAUCUGUAGGUUAAAAAACGCUGCAUAACAGACUGGGCCAUUUCAGGGUUCUGGUGGCCGAUUCAGCACUGAAAAGACAAAGUGGAUGGAAAACCAGAUGAUUGUUUGAUCCCAUGGCCUGGAUGAUGAAGCUGUCUUUCCUGUAACCAAACCUCACUUGGACCCAGUCAGAAAGUGAAAGCUGAAUCAAAGGUUUCAUUUUCACUAGAAAAUGCAAUUUGUUUGGACUGAAAUUUUCAUAGCAAUGCACCUGACUCCAAAAGCAGAUCUUACAGGUAAGAUUGUCAUGGCUAGGAUGGAACUCGGUCAGAUGAGGACAGCAGAGUCAAGUCAGCAGCCCGGAGCCACACGUACCUGUGAACACCUGACUACCAAGUGGGUAGCUGGCCACACAGCUGUUAAAUAUGCAGAAGUAUCUGCUUUUCCAUUGCAUUUUUUUUAGGGCAAAAAUCCACAGAUAACCUUUUGUUUUUCCAAACUAUUGCAGAAUGAAUUCCUGUUUUCUUGUCAAUCCUAAUUCAAAAUCCUCUCCCUGCCCUCUCUCUCCCCCACUCCCAUUUCCUUCAGUAGCCUCUCUGGAGCUGGGAUGGAGACUCGAGCUUAAACCCUGUUACACCUUUGCUGACUCAGUAUCUCACAAAAGACCUUUGCAAAGUCUGCUUAUAAUCGUGCAACAAGGUGACCAGCUGGACAGACUUUGAGCCAGCAUUGGGACGUGAAGUUAAGACAGGAACGUACACCGUUGGUCUUUGGAGGAAGAGCUUUGUCACUAGACCACUCUGUUUUGGGAGAAUAUUUAUCCAAUCUGUCCUGAUGGAGCUAUUCCAACUGAUACAAGAUAUUUCUGGAAGGCAAAGCGAGUUGGAGUCUGUUGGUUGGACCCUUGUUGGAAGACAGCAGACAGCAAUUCUUGCUGGUGUUUUGCUUUGCAGCAUUUCACGUGGGUCUUACCUGGCAGGGGUGCUCUACUACUGCCUGUUCGAUGGAGUCCAUCAGGUGGGGGAGGAAAAAAAAGAGUGGCUGAUUCAUAGUGCCAGAUGGAGCUUUUGCAGACUAGUCCCUGUCUAGACUCAAGGGCCUUCAGGUGCCUUCACCAUCACAGAACAGUUGAUCAGGGUAUCAGAGGCUUUACGUCUGUGCUUUCCCUGAGCUACCAGCUGUGAGUUUUCAGGCUAGGUCUGGACCUCACUGUCUGGUCUGCACCGGGGGGAGCAGAGGAGGGUUUUGCUAUUUGUUUCACCUCCCAUGCUGCAAAGAUACAGCAAAGGACAGAAACCGCACUCAAGUUUCAGCUUUAAACACUGAAAAUAGCUGAAGAGCAGCAAAAGCAUGGUCUGGAGUAGCAGUCUACAGAGCUUAAGUGUUUGGCACGCAGUUACGUGAUGUUUCAGUAGGACUCUUCACAUGCUCCAGUUUAAGCAUCUGUUUAACUCUUUGGCUGACCAAAGCCAAGAACUCUGAACGUUGUAUAAUCCCAUCUCAUGUUCAUACCUGUUAAAGUAUGUAUAUAUCAUCGAUACUGGAUGUCUGGA